RNAcentral lists this unclassified non-coding RNA (4525 nucleotides) under Hevea brasiliensis (rubber tree). The record is from RNAcentral. Lineage: Eukaryota; Viridiplantae; Streptophyta; Magnoliopsida; Malpighiales; Euphorbiaceae.
CAGAACAAUAAUUUCUAACAAAAAAUUUCUUUAGCAUCCACAAACUUCAACCUAACAAAGCAUUAACAUACACAAGACAGACCCAACUCCCCUUCAUGGAUUAAUGCCUCUGCAACGUACUUUGGACAAAAAUGGACCAAACAUUUCAAAAAUGAAUAUAGUAAGGGUCUAUCAAAUAAUAACUUGCAUCAGGAACAGCUCAUUCUGAGAAUUACCCUCACUGGAGCAAUAAUGUUGCUAAACCUAGGUGAGGUUACAUCAAGCUAUACCAACAGAUACUUCCAUCAAAUUUGUUAUUAUACUGAAUGACCCAUUGCAUUUGCACAAGGUUUAAGCCUCCUCAAAAGGAGUAGAGAUGACUGAUGCUAGCAUACAUCUUCUGCUACCAGUGGAGGGACAAAUCUGUAACCUUGAAGAGUUUGCUCAAAGAUAUGACCAACCUUGAGUAAUUUUGCCUGAAAGGUGAAAGCAUGAUAACAAAAAAACUAAUGAUCAAAAAUCUGUCUACUAUCUAAUUCAUGACAAUGGAGAACAAAGAAGAGAAAAAGAAUUGCUGUAUUUCCUCAAACAGGAAUCUGCAAAUUGUUUACAUCCUUUGCAACAAUACAAUAUAUUCAUAUGUUAAUUUAUAAGCUAGUUGAUGAUGGGGAGUACAUUUUUUAUGGUUGACAAAGGGGAAAACCAAGCCAAUGCUUCCUCUUGUUUUGAAUAUGCUUUCAGGAGUCUUGACUCUAUACCAUUGUUUACAAGCAACAUCAAUGAUUAACCAAGACUAGACAAAGCCAGCAGAAAUAAAUAGAUUAUUAUCAAUGAGCAGCAGCUCUACAACCCAAGAAUACAGAAGCACCAAGUUGCAGUUCAUAAACCAACUCACAAUUAACCCAAACUAUAACAUAUUGCAGCAGAAGUUUCGUAAAAUACAAUUUUACCAGGUAUUUCUGGAUGGAGUUGCAGAAACAUACCAUACUUGAUCCAAUCUGCAAUUAAUACUUUCUUAUGCGUUUUUUCUAAUAGCCCAUAUCCUUCUCAGGAUUUUCUUACAGGGAAAUCACCAAAAACCCCCAAGGUUUAGCCUGACACACUCUAGUACUCCUUUUUUUUAAAUCAAUUAUGUCAAAAAUAAUGUAGUUUAGGCCAAAAAACAGUCUUUUGGUCUAUAAAAUUACUAAAGUGUUAAAUUAUAGAAAACUCUUAAGGACAAAAGUGUUUGAUUUUGAAAAGAAGAGGAACAAAAUAUAAGGUCAAGCCUCACAGAACUUUUAUCUAUUUAUCAUUAUACUUCAAAGUGAUUUAUUCUUCCAAACAUCAGCUAACAACCAUGCUAGGUUGCAACCCAUUUCUUUUAGUAAAGCUUUUCAAACUGGAGUUAAAGGUGAACCAGAGGAGUUUCUCCAACAGCAUCACUACAAAGAAUGAGAUGUUGAUACCUCAUCAAAUGCAGCUCCAAUCAUUUGAAAACCAACAGGAAGUCCUGCAGGCCCCUCUUCAACAAAUCCACAUGGCAAAACCAAUGCAGGUAACCCUGCCAAGUUAACGUUGACCUGUACCAAGGAUACAAUUGCUAAAUGAGAAAAGAAAAAUAAGAUCAGGUUGAUACUAAACAAGAAGCAGCAGAACUGUAAAAAAAUUAGAUCACAAAUUCGCAAAAAUUGAAACAAAAUUGAUGUUAACAUUGCAAUAGUUCUAGGAAUCUUGGGCAAAUUUUUUAAGCAAUAUUCUUGUUAAAUUAAAUAAUAAAUUUAUUUAGCUACUAUACACAUUUCAGACUGCUAAAGUUUUCAUCUUUCACAAAGCAAUCCUGGAUGAAGUCAGGAAAAUCUCUAUUCUAUUGUUGUUUUAUUUCAUGAUCCUUUACUGAUUCCAAAUGUAAGGAACCACUCUGGUGCAUCUUCUGCGUUUCACGCCUCCUACAGUCAAGCAAUGACCUGAUUUUCUUUCUUCUUUAUUAUUCUUACAAAGAGCAGCACAUAAUUAACCACAUAAAAAUUUAUUAAAGUCACUAACAGCAAGCAUAAAUUUCGUAAAUAUUUCAGCCUGGCAAAACCGGCUUUUUAAUGUUUAAGAUCCCUCACUCUCUCUCCCUUUCCAAAUCUAAAAUACAAUUUUCUAUUUUCCUCAGCCAAUCUUUAACUCGUGGCAUAUUGUUCAAGGUAGAAAAAUCAAAUACAGAUCAGAAUCCAAAGCAUCCAUAGAGGUAAAACAAUAGUGGAGGGAGGCGGGUGCAAUUAGGCAGAAAGAAGAUAAAGAAGCACAAAUUUGCUUACGGUCAUUAUGUCACCAGCAUACAUUGCCAACGGAUCAUUUUUCUUUUCACCUGUAAACAUUAAAUUAGUUGGAUAUUUACUUUUAAACUGAGACUAUCAAGGUGCACAAAGUCAAAACAAGUAGCCCAAACAUACCAAUCUUAUAAGCAGCAGAAGGAGCAGCAGGAGAAAUUAGGAUGUCAUUUGCAUCUAAUGCAGCCUUGAAGCUUCUCUGGAUUAAAGUCCUCACCUAAAACACUAUUACAAUCAUAAAUUUCUUCUUGAAGAUCUUAAAAGCUCUUGAAAUUUUUAUUGAUUUUUAGAAAAAAUAAGAAUCCUAUACUAAAUUACUAAAUAUUCUGUGUUACAAAAUUAGAUGCUCGAAUCAUAGAAGUAGCCAAACAUAUUCCAAGUCACUUGUCCAAAUUUGUCAACGGAAAUUCAAAAGUCAAGAAAUUCAAGAACUCUACAGAAUCAUGGUGUUAAACCCACUGAACACAUCAAGACUCCUGGUAACCACAUUCAUCCUCUUUAAGGUAUGGACUAGGUGCAUCACACAUCCACCUUUUAAACUCAUGUUACCUGUUGAGCACGCUUAUAAUAUGCAUCAUAAUAACCAGCUGAAAGGGCAUAUGUUCCCAUCAAAAUUCUCAUUUUGACCUCAGGACCAAAUCCUUUUGCUCGAGAAUCCCCAUAAAGCAGAUUUAACUCAUCAGCAACAGCUUGCUUUCCAUACCUGACACCAUCAUAACGUGAUAAGUUGGAAGAUGAUUCUGAAGACGCAAGAAUAUAGUAAGCUGGUAAACCAAGGGAGAAAGAUGGCAAUGAUACCUCUGUCACAGUGCAUCCUAAUUCUUCUAGGUGCGAUGCAGCGCCACUGAUUGCAGAUUUUACCCCAUUAUCAACACCAUCAUCAAGAGUUUCACGUAUAAGACCAACCCUCAAUCCCUUCAAUGGUCUAGAUUCCACAAGAUUUGCAGAAGUGAACUGAGUUGUGAAAUCAGGAACCUCCUGAAGAGAUGAAAAUUAUAGCAAAAUAAGAAACCAUAACUUUUAACCCCAGAAAUCAAUAGAAAACAAUUAGCAAUAUUAUAAAUUUGUACAGGCACAGUGCAGUAAAUGAUAAACUUGUGUACACCAACAUUUACAGUUGACAUUAAUUCCUUAGCAGUCCCAUGGAUUGACCAACGUGUUAAAUAAGAUAAAUAGGAAUGUCAAUUUAUCCCCCUAAAACACGUAAAUUUUGGUCACUUCCUUUUCCAUAAACAUCAGUAUCAAAAUUACUGUCAACUGCUGGGUUAUAAGAUAAGAUUAUAAUUGGUCAAGCAAACAUGGAAGGAGAAAUCACUUUCCUUAAGAAAUAAAAAUAAGCCAAUAUAUACAUGAGGGUAGACGAAUUCAUAAUCUCCUACUGCUAGUGGCAUCAUAUCUAUCAUGACCACUAAUUGCAUGAAGAAUAAUGCCAGUAUCAGCAACUGAUGUAGAAAAGCAUCCAACAACAUCCAGUGAUGGAGCAUAAGCCAUAAGUCCAAAUCUUGACACACGCCCAUAGGUUGGCUUCAAUCCAACAAAACCACCAAAUGAUGCUGGAUGUCUUAGAUUUCCACCAGUAUCACUUCCCAAUGAUACUACACACUGCCUAGCAGAAACAGCCGCAGCAGAUCCUCCUGAUGAUCCACCAGGCACCCGAGACGUAUCCCUAGGGUUUGAAGUCACCUGAAAAGCGGAACGUUCAAUGGUACUUCCCAUACCAGACUCAUCCAAAUUAGUCUUUCCCACCACAAUGGCACCCUUCUCCUUCAUUCUCCUGACCGCCGUUGCAUCAUACGGCGCUCGAUAAUUCUCCAAAAUGCGAGACCCACCAGUAGACGGCAUAUCGGACGUACAUAUAUUAUCCUUGACCCCAACAAGCACCCCAGCAAGCGGACCCACAUCCUCAUCCCUGUCAAUCUUGUCGUCGAUCUCUUGGGCUUGUUUUAACACGUUAUCCGAUAUGAGGAGGAACGAGUUGAGUUGGGGCUCGGUGAGCCUAAGGCGGGUUAAGUAGGAAUCAGCGAGUUGGAAGAGGUUACGUGGCGGGAGAGAUGGGAGUGAUGGAUUCUGAGGAUUUGGGAGGAUUGUUGGGAUUGGUCUGUGAGGGCGGAAGUGGUAACUGGUAGUGAAGUUGAGGAUGAUGAAGCAUCAGUAAAUGUGAGAGAGCGGGGUUUAAUGGAGGGAAGGUUGAAAGAGAAGCGAGAGAGGGACCGAGGGGGCUGCAGCGCGGACAGCAUUUCGUUUCCUCC